AUCCCGGGGUGGAUGGUCGCUCCGAUGUUCUUUCGCAUCCCAUGGCGCGCCGGAAACGGGGCGCCUGGCAAAGAAUCUCUUCGGAGAGGAAAGUCCGGACACCGCAGGGCAGGAUGCUGGCCGAGGCGCGCAAGCGCCAAGUCCAGGCGGCGCGCGUCAAGGCGCGUCGACGGAAAGUGCCACAGAGAAUAUACCGCCCGAGGGGAAACCCAGGGGUAAGGGUGAAAAGGUGGGGUAAGAGCCCACCGCGUCGAUCGUGAGGUCGGCGGCAUGGUAAACCCGAUCCGGUGCAAGGCAAAAUAGGCGACUGGGCGGCUCGCCCGAUAGUCGCGGGUAUGCCGCAUUUGUCGGGUCGCGCGCGCGGGCAACUGCGAGCGCGGCACCGAUGAACCGGCCGGUCGCGAGACCGGCGUGGAGAGAAAUGACCGUCGAUCCGGCGUCGCGAGACGCCGGGGGACAUAAUCCGGCUUACAGCUCCGGGAUCAGA
RNAcentral lists this RNase P RNA (487 nucleotides) under Opitutaceae bacterium. Its description in RNAcentral is "RNase P RNA component class A". It matches the Rfam family "Bacterial RNase P class A". From Rfam's summary of the family: Ribonuclease P (RNase P) is a ubiquitous endoribonuclease, found in archaea, bacteria and eukarya as well as chloroplasts and mitochondria. Its best characterised activity is the generation of mature 5'-ends of tRNAs by cleaving the 5'-leader elements of precursor-tRNAs. The record is from RNAcentral. Lineage: Bacteria; Pseudomonadati; Verrucomicrobiota; Opitutia; Opitutales; Opitutaceae.